AAGGCCAAUGAUGAAUAUCUAGGGGUGUCUGUAUCAAGCAUUUUGAUUAAACCCUGUAACUCUGAGAUCCAU
This is a small nucleolar RNA of Lemur catta (Ring-tailed lemur), 72 nucleotides long. RefSeq annotates it as small nucleolar RNA SNORD113/SNORD114 family. The record is from RefSeq and is a predicted model, not a curated record. The transcript has a single exon. Lineage: Eukaryota; Metazoa; Chordata; Mammalia; Primates; Lemuridae.